AGUGAACGCUGGCGGUAGGCCUAACACAUGCAAGUCGAACGGCAGCACAGUAAGAGCUUGCUCUUACGGGUGGCGAGUGGCGGACGGGUGAGGAAUACAUCUGAAUCUACUUUUUCGUGGGGGAUAACGUAGGGAAACUUACGCUAAUACCGCAUACGACCUACGGAUGAAAGCAGGGGAUCUUCGGACCUUGCGCGAUUGAAUGAGCCGAUGUCGGAUUAGCUAGUUGGCGGGGUAAAGGCCCACCAAGGCGACGAUCCGUAGCUGGUCUGAGAGGAUGAUCAGCCACACUGGAACUGAGACACGGUCCAGACUCCUACGGGAGGCAGCAGUGGGGAAUAUUGGACAAUGGGCGCAAGCCUGAUCCAGCCAUACCGCGUGGGUGAAGAAGGCCUUCGGGUUGUAAAGCCCUUUUGUUGGGAAAGAAAAGCAGCAGGUUAAUACCCCGCUGUUCUGACGGUACCCAAAGAAUAAGCACCGGCUAACUUCGUG
RNAcentral lists this ribosomal RNA (492 nucleotides) under uncultured bacterium. RNAcentral's name for it is "partial 16S ribosomal RNA". It matches the Rfam family "Bacterial small subunit ribosomal RNA", at positions 29 to 507 of the family's 1533-position model. The record is from RNAcentral.